AUGGCCUACUUCGAUGAGAAAGCGAAGGAUGAUCCAGAUUUCUUCUACAGGAUAAGAUUGGACAAUGAGGACCGUGUCAGGAACAUGUAUUGGGUGGAUGGUGCUGCAAGAAGAGCCCACAAACAUUUCCAAGAUUGCAUUUCAUUCGACGCAACAUAUCUCACUAAUAUGUACAAGAUGCCAUGCGCUCCAUUCAUAGGAAUAAAUAACCACAAUCAGUCAUUGCAGUUUAGAUGCGGGCUCGUUUGGAACGAAGACAUUGAUGGGUACACUUGGAUGUUCUAGACCUUCUUUGAGUGCAUGGAUGGACUUGCUCCGAUGAACAUAAUAACAGACCAGAGUUUUAGGAUGCGUGCAGGCAUAGAUGAGGUCUUUCCGUUGGCAGUGCACAUGCACUUCAGGUGGCACAUUAUAAAGAAGGCUGAGGAAACACUAGGACCGUUCUUUGCUGACCGUCCAGAGCUGCACAAGGCAUUCGAGCUGUGCGUGGACCACAACUUGACGGUGGAGGAGUUUGAAAGGAGCUGGAUGGCCAUGAUUGAAACAUAUCAAGUCCAAGACAACGAGACGCUUGCUAACCUGUGGGAGAAGCGAAUGUACUGGGUGCCGGCCUACUUCAUGCAGUGCUUCUUCCUGUUUCUAUAG
This 645-nucleotide ribosomal RNA is filed under the name Triticum aestivum (bread wheat). Its description in RNAcentral is "partial small subunit ribosomal RNA". Lineage: Eukaryota; Viridiplantae; Streptophyta; Magnoliopsida; Poales; Poaceae. The record is from RNAcentral.